Molecule: ribosomal RNA, 523 nt
Filed under: uncultured bacterium
Lineage: Bacteria
Description: bacterial SSU rRNA
Rfam family: Bacterial small subunit ribosomal RNA
Source: RNAcentral
UCGAACGAGAGAGAGGGAGCUUGCUUCCUUGAUCGAGUGGCGAACGGGUGAGUAACGCGUGAGGAACCUGCCUCAAAGAGGGGGACAACAGUUGGAAACGACUGCUAAUACCGCAUAAGCCCACGACCCGGCAUCGGGAAGAGGGAAAAGGAGCAAUCCGCUUUGAGAUGGCCUCGCGUCCGAUUAGCUAGUUGGUGAGGUAACGGCCCACCAAGGCGACGAUCGGUAGCCGGACUGAGAGGUUGAACGGCCACAUUGGGACUGAGACACGGCCCAGACUCCUACGGGAGGCAGCAGUGGGGAAUAUUGCACAAUGGGGGAAACCCUGAUGCAGCGACGCCGCGUGGAGGAAGAAGGUCUUCGGAUUGUAAACUCCUGUUGUUGAGGAAGAUAAUGACGGUACUCAACAAGGAAGUGACGGCUAACUACGUGCCAGCAGCCGCGGUAAAACGUAGGUCACAAGCGUUGUCCGGAAUUACUGGGUGUAAAGGGAGCGCAGGCGGGCGAUCAAGUUGGAAGUGAA